RNAcentral lists this ribosomal RNA (773 nucleotides) under uncultured Neocallimastigales. RNAcentral's name for it is "partial large subunit ribosomal RNA". It matches the Rfam family "Eukaryotic large subunit ribosomal RNA", at positions 24 to 649 of the family's 3401-position model. Lineage: Eukaryota; Fungi; Neocallimastigomycota; Neocallimastigomycetes; Neocallimastigales. The record is from RNAcentral.
UAGUCUCGCACAGAUGCAUAUCAAUAAGCGGAGGAAAAGAAACUAACAAGGAUUCCCCUAGUAACGGCGAGUGAAGCGGGAAGAGCUCAAAUUUGAAAUCUUAAAGGGUUUCCCUUUACGAAUUGUAGUUUAAAGAAGUGUUUUCUGUUGAGGUUUUGGUAAAAGUUCUUUGGAAUAGGACAUCAUAGAGGGUGAGAAUCCCGUAUUUGACCUUUACUUUCAACUUUGUGAUACACUUUCAAAGAGUCGGAUUGUUUGGGAAUGCAGUCCAAAAUGGGUGGUAAAUUUCAUCUAAAGCUAAAUAUUGGCGAGAGACCGAUAGCGAACAAGUACCGUGAGGGAAAGAUGAAAAGAACUUUGAAAAGAGAGUUAAACAGUACGUGAAAUUGUCAAAAGGGAAGCGUUUGACACCAGUGUUGUUUUUCUGGAAAUCAAUUAAAGAACUGUUUAUGCUAAGCUGUUUAGACUUUAUCAGCUAUCUGUUUAGUUUUGAGCUUUUCUUUAAUGCACUUUUCAGUUAACAAGUCAACAUCAAUUUCUUUUGCUGUAAAAAAGCUUGAGGAAGGUGGCUUGAGAUUCGUCUUAAGUGUUUAUAGCCUCUUGCCUAUGCAGUCGGAGAGAUUGAGGUCUGCAGCGUAGAUCCUUCGGGGCUAAAUGCAUUUGUGCUAAGUUAUAGCAUUUUAUAGACAACUUGUUGACUAUGAUUAGUCUUGUAGCUUACUCGCUUAUGUUAUUUUACCUACGCUUAGGAUGUUGAGUAGCGACAUACGCAC